GACGAACGCUGGCGGCGUGCUUAACACAUGCAAGUCGAACGGAAAGGCCCUGCUUGCAGGGUACUCGAGUGGCGAACGGGUGAGUAACACGUGGGUGAUCUGCCCUGCACUUCGGGAUAAGCCUGGGAAACUGGGUCUAAUACCGGAUAGGAGCCAUUUUUAGUGUGAUGGUUGGAAAGUUUUUUCGGUGUUGGAUGAGCGCGCGGCCUAUCAGCUUGUUGGUGGGGUAAUGGCCUACCAAGGCGGCGACGGGUAGCCGGCCUGAGAGGGUGGACGGCCACAUUGGGGCUGAGAUACGGCCCCGACUCCUACGGGGGGCAGCAGUGGGGAAUAUUGCACAAUGGGCGCAAGCCUGAUGCAGCGACGCCGCGGGGGGGAUGACGGCCUUCGGGUUGUAAACUCCUUUCGCUAGGGACGAAGCUUUUUGUGACGGUACCUAGAUAAGAAGCACCGGCUAACUACGUG
This 465-nucleotide ribosomal RNA is filed under the name uncultured bacterium. Its description in RNAcentral is "partial 16S ribosomal RNA". It matches the Rfam family "Bacterial small subunit ribosomal RNA", at positions 28 to 507 of the family's 1533-position model. The record is from RNAcentral.